CCGGCACGGGUGAGUAACACGUAUCCAACCUGCCGUCUACUCUUGGACAGCCUUCUGAAAGGAAGAUUAAUACAAGAUGGCAUCAUGAGUCCGCAUGUUCACAUGAUUAAAGGUAUUCCGGUAGACGAUGGGAUGCGUUCCAUUAGAUAGUAGGCGGGGUAACGGCCCACCUAGUCUUCGAUGGAUAGGGGUUCUGAGAGGAAGGGCCCCCACAUUGGACUGAGACACGGCCAA
This 234-nucleotide ribosomal RNA is filed under the name uncultured bacterium. RNAcentral's name for it is "partial 16S ribosomal RNA". It matches the Rfam family "Bacterial small subunit ribosomal RNA", at positions 100 to 334 of the family's 1533-position model. The record is from RNAcentral.